UAAUAUAACAUGACUAAUAGGUGAAAAGGGUGAAGAAUCUAUUAUAUUAUAGAAGAUCUUACUUCAAAUAUUAUAACAAAUCAUCUUAGAAAAUAGACAAUAAUCCAAAAAAAAAAUAGAAUUAAAGAUUUAAAUACUAUCUUUUUGUAAAGUAAGAUUUUAUUUACUUUGUAAGUCCAUAAAUAAGGUAAAAAAAGGUAGAUUAAAAAAAUAAAGAAUAUGAGCAUAUAUAAGAAGAAAUUAAGAGUUAAUUGAAAUAA
RNAcentral lists this long non-coding RNA (260 nucleotides) under Physcomitrium patens. Its description in RNAcentral is "long non-coding RNA (PPAT_LNC011593)". The record is from RNAcentral. Lineage: Eukaryota; Viridiplantae; Streptophyta; Bryopsida; Funariales; Funariaceae.